This 1798-nucleotide long non-coding RNA is filed under the name Homo sapiens (human). RNAcentral's name for it is "long non-coding RNA NONHSAT185114.1". Lineage: Eukaryota; Metazoa; Chordata; Mammalia; Primates; Hominidae. The record is from RNAcentral.
CAGGCCCAGACUCCACUCCCCAGCUGUGAAAGGACUGCUGGCCAGACCCCCAAGCUAGCCCGCCAGGCCUCCAUAGAGCUGCCCAGCAUGGCUGCGUCCAGUACCAAGAGUUGGUGGGAGACGGGUGAAGUACAGGCUCAGUCUGCGGCCAAGACUCCAUCCUGCAAGGAUAUUGUGGCUGGAGACAUGAGCAAGAAAAGCCUCUGGGAGCAGAAGGGAGGCUCCAAGACCUCAUCAACAAUUAAGGUCGACAGCCAAAAGCGGGAGGUAUCCAAAGCUGCAAGAGAAGAGAAAAUGGCCUGUGGUGGGGAGCAGCUUCCAAGCCACCAUGGAGGCCCCACUCAAGUCCCAGGCCUCAUGGGAGCUGACCCUGAUGCACGGGGACUGAGUCACCCCUGACAGAACAAUAAGGAGACCUCGUGGCAUUUCCCAUCUCCACAGAAACCACCAAAUCCAUGUCUGCCAUGAUCCUGCUCACUUCCUCACCCACCCUUCCCUGCAAUCCAUCCCUAAUGAGCGCUCUUUGAACCCAUCCAACUCUCUCCAUCUCUACAGCCCUCGCCCAGCCUCAGUUUCCUCAUUUGAAAGAUGGGAAUUCUAACACGUGUCUGAGAGGGCUUAGAUGAGAAUUAAGUUUGCAAAACUGAAAGCAGUGACUUUUGUUUGUGUUGCUCACGGAACCUACACACUGUUCCCUGCUUCUCAGGCUCUUCUCUGUCCCAGUUCUCUCCCUUUCUGCCACCCCUUGAGUUGUCAGGCUCCUCACUCCUGCUUCAGGCUGCACCCUUCUUCAGCUUCCUCCACUCCCUGGCUGUGGCAGGCAGCCUCUAGCAUGACCCUCAAUGAUCCCCAGCUCCUGCAGUCACCCUCUUGUGGAGUCCCCACCCCUUUAGUGUGGGAUGCACCUAACGACUCACUUCCAACUCACAAAAUAUGGCAAAAGACACAGGAAGUCACUUCUGAAAUUAGGUUGCAAAAGGACCUGUUAUCCCUCUUGCUCAUCUUCUCCUGAAAGACAGGUGGCAGAGCUGCCAUGCUGCGAAGCACCCUACGCGGCAAGGGGCCCAGGGAGUACUCCUGUCAACAGCCAGCAAGGAACUCAGACCCUCAGCCCAACAAGCCACAGCUGAAUCCUGCCAACAGUCACAUGAGUAGAUUUGGAAACAAAUCCUCUGCCACCUCUCGGAAAGUCAAGCCUUGAAAUGAAUGCAGCCCCAGCCAACAGUUUCAGCCUGGGAAUGGCCCUGUGCAGAGAUACUCAGCUAAAACUGUAGUUGGAUUCAUAAGUCAGAGAAACUAUGAAAUCAUAAAUGUACAUUGUUUUAAGUUGCUGAGUAUUGGGGUGGUCUCUUCCAUAGCAAUACGUAACUGAGACACAUAGCCUUCAUUUGUAUCUCCAUACAGAACACUCCCUGGUAUAUACAGCCGACCUCUGUAUCCAGGGACCUGUGUCUGUGGAUUGAACCAACCACAGAUCAAAAAUAUUCAAAAAGUAGGCUGGGCACAGUGGUUCACACCUAUAAUCCCAGAACUUUGGGAGGCCGAGGCAGGUGGAUCACCUGAGGUCAGGAGUUCAAGGCCAGCCUGGCCAACAUGGUGAAACCCCAUCUCUACUAAAAAUGCAAAAAAUUAGCAAGGUGUAGCGGCAUGUGCCUGUAAUCCCAGCUACUCAGGGGGCUGAGGCAGGAGAAUCCCCUGAACCCAGGAGGCGAAGCUUGCAGUAAGCCAAGAUCAUGCCACUGCACUCCAGCCUGGGCAACAGUGAAGCUCGGUCUCAAAAAAUAAAAAUAAAUUAAUU